AUAGCUCAGUGGUAAAGCACUCACCUCACAUGUAUGAAGUCCUGGGUUCAAUCCCCAGU
RNAcentral lists this transfer RNA (59 nucleotides) under Urocitellus parryii (Arctic ground squirrel). RNAcentral's name for it is "Spermophilus parryii (Arctic ground squirrel) tRNA". It matches the Rfam family "tRNA", at positions 7 to 64 of the family's 71-position model. Rfam says of the family: Transfer RNA (tRNA) molecules are approximately 80 nucleotides in length. Their secondary structure includes four short double-helical elements and three loops (D, anti-codon, and T loops). Lineage: Eukaryota; Metazoa; Chordata; Mammalia; Rodentia; Sciuridae. The record is from Rfam by way of RNAcentral. RNAcentral also lists the same sequence under 1 other name.